RNAcentral lists this long non-coding RNA (15824 nucleotides) under Gossypium barbadense (sea-island cotton). The record is from RNAcentral. Lineage: Eukaryota; Viridiplantae; Streptophyta; Magnoliopsida; Malvales; Malvaceae.
CUUCUCCUUCUCCUUCUCCUUCUUCUCCUCCUCUUCUUUUUUUUUCUUCUUCUCCUCCUUUUUCUACUACCUAAACCCUAAAUUGGUGCUAAAAGGGCUGUUUAAAUUGGUGCUAAUCGACCAGUUGGACGGUUAAUGACAAUAAGGAAUCUGUCAUCUGCCAUAUCACUUUUUCGUUAUGUCUAUAACGGAAAAUGGUUAAAAGGAUUGUUUUGUUAUUUUUUUAAAAUUGAGCGACUAAAUUGCAACCUGAGUGAUUAUUUUGUCAGCUACCCUAAAGUUGAGUGACUAUUGGUGUAAUUUACCCUUUUUUUUGUCGAAUUCAGUACCAAUGCUGACCUAUAUCGUUACACGAGCUAACCAAAUUAUGACACAUCAUACCUUUAUUUUUUUUUCUUUUUUCAUUAAUCUUUAACUUAUUCACCGUCCCAUCCUAUGUCUUUUUUUCGGAUUUAAAACAACAUUACUGAAAACUCAUCUUUAGAGUUUUAUCUAUCUAUCAAUGGGGAAACAAUUUGGAAAAGAAAACCAUCAAUGGCCAUCUCUGAGCACUACAAUCGAAGUAGUUUUAUAGUCUUGAUUUUUCCAUCUCUGCUACUACACUCUACAAUGAAAUAGGAGAAGGUGGGAGAAAGAGGAAUAUUUUUUUAAUUUUUUAAUAUUAAUAUAAUUAUUAAUAAUAAUUUGAUUUAAUUUGAUUUUAAUUACAUCUUGUUUCUUAAUUAGAUGUAGAAGUUUUUUUUAUAAAUGUAACGGUAAUGGCUAGCGUUGACUAUAAAAAUAAAGUUUAGGUAUUUAAUUCGAUAAAAAAAUUUAAAUACUUAACUUUAAAAAAGACAUGAUUUGAGGGUCAAUUAUUAAAUUAAACUUUUAAGAAAAAUGGUUUCUUUUGGGGUACAAACAAAGCUUAAUGAAGGGUUUCUCUAGCAUUGAACGCAACACAGCGUGUUAAAAGCUGAACAUAGAUAUAAUCUUAAAGGAAGAAAUAGUAUAUUUGGGAUUCAACCCAAUACAACAUGCUAUUACUUGAACACAUAAAAGUUGUAAUGAGACAGAGGUGAAUCCAGAAGGGUUGGUAGGAGCCCUAGCCCCUCUUAAAAUAGAAAAUUGUUAUUUUGGCCAUUUAGAAAUUUUUAAAAUUUUAAAUUAGUAGAGAUAAAAUUGUACUUUGCCCUCUAAAAUUAUAAAAAUUUAAUUUAAUCAUUAAAAAAUUAUAAAGAUAUAGACUAUUAAAUAUUAAAAUUUCAUUUCGUCCCCUAAAAAAAUUGUCUAGCUUCACCCCUGUAACAAGAUUAAUAGCUUGUUGGCCUUAUUGGAGUUUUAUUAUUUGAAAAAAUUGAAAUCCACAAUAUUAAAAUAUGAAGUUAACUAUAUUGGGAUUCCAUUUAUCAUGUACUGAGAUUUUUUUACCAAAUGGCCCUUAAUACAAUUAGGGCUAGUCAAUGGGGAAUACAGGUACUGGUAGGUACUCAAAUCUUCUAUUUAAGUCUUUUUAUAGUUUAUAAAAUUUUAAAUUAAUAAUGGUAAAAUUGUACUUUGGCUACCAAAAAAUGAUAAAAAUUCAUUUAGUUUUUAAAAAUUAUAAAGAUAUAUAGACUAUUCAAAUGGUAAAAUUGUAUUUUUAUUAUCGCAAAAAUAUACAAUUUAAUUUUGCCUGAAUUUUUUUUUUUUUGAUUUCGCGCCUAGAGCUAGUACACAUAACAUAAAACCCAAAAUCAAAUAUGUGGGUAGUCAAAUGAUUAAAAUAACAACUCGCCAUUCCUACCAAAACAUAAGCAACUAGAUUGCUUUCUUUAAAAGCAUGCUUUAUUCUCCACUGUUGUAUCCCAUUGAUGAGUGUUCUAGAAUGCAAAAUUAAAGUGGAAAAUGUUUGAUUAUGAGAUGUGUUUUGCAAAAAAUUAACAACACAAGUAGUAUUAAGCUCAAUUUCCAAUCAAGCAACACUAAGGGCAUAUUUGAAAAUGCCUUUAGAAGUUUAAAAGCAGCAAUCCCAAACAUAUUGAUUUUUCAGUUAAAAACACUUUCAAAUGGAGAAGUUGGUAUCAAGUGCAGAGGUUGUUGACUUUAGCUGUUUAGGGGUGAAAAAGGACUUACAUUUGCUUCACUUUGUACUUGAGUAGAUACGAGUAAUGUAAGUGUUUAUUCCAGCCUAUGUUUGAAACAGAGGUCUGAGAAUUUUAAUUCUAAAUGGUUUAUUUUAUGGUGAACUCCAAGCUCACACCAAAAUAUCCAAUAUCAUGCAACUUCAGUUUUUUUUUUCUUAUCCAUGAUUCAAAAUUAUAAACAAUCAUUAUUAAUUUUUUGUAAUGUUAAAAAUGUAUAGAUGCAUAAAUUUCACCGUAAUUGCUAUUAUUAAACUAAUAAUAAUUGUUAUUAUAUUACUAAUAUCUAAUAUAUGGCACAUAUAUUUAAUUAAAAUUACUUAAAUAUUAUUUGAUUAACUAAUUUAAUAGUGAUUGUACUGCUUGUGUAAUUUUUAUUAUAUGGAUUUAUUAUUGUUCAACGUAAUGUCUAAAAUAGAUAUUUUAACUUUCAACCCUAAUUUUUGACAAUAAUGUCAAAUACUUGAAAUAAACAAAUAACACUUUUUCAUAACACUUUUUCAUAGCUCUUUUAAAGAACACUUUUUUCAACUGCAACUUUUCAAAAGCACUUCUGCAUCGCAAUAACAAUACCAAACUAGCCCUAAGAGCUUAAGCAAGGGAAAAUUUAUCUCGGAAAGCUAUAGUUCAAUCUCAACAAUACCUAAAUGAUCCCUUAUCCCAUUGGUUAUCUUGGUCACAAUUAUACACUCGACUCUAAAUUUGCCUGAAUUUUUAAUGACGGAUCCAUCCAUAUUCAACGAAUUUGACUGUUAUGCAAUUGUACAACUUAAAAUAUCAACUCAAGCUACAUAUACUAAGACUUACAACAUUGCACCAACAAGCCAUUUGUACAAAUGAAAGUGAGUAGGCUAAACCACUUAAAGAUUCUAGGCCUAAUAAUGUAACAAAUGCAAUAUCUAGACCUAAAACUAAGCAUGAAGUGGUUUAAGUUAUGGAGAGGCAGGAGGGAUUGUAAAGUUUUUUUUCAUGAGUUUGGAUGUGUUAGACAUUUGGUCUUAGUCCAACAAUCUUUCAAAAAAUUAUAGAAUCUAUUUGUGUGUUUCACCCAUCACACAGUUUUAGUAUUUUUAGGGUGUGCAGUAAUAACUUCUAAUCCUUCCAUUUACGAACAUCUUAUCUAGAGCUUUGUAGCAGUUGCUUAUUAGAUAUUAAAGGCAUUGAGAAUGCACCUUGACAUAUGCUACCUAUAUAAGUGUUGUCUAUAAUUCUUUGGAUUGAUUAGUAUGAUGUAGAAGAGACAGAGAAAGUAACAUAUUUACAAGCGAAAUACAUGUCAAGAGGUACAUAAAUUUUGGAGAAGUUUGUAUUCAAAGUUUUUAUGGGCCUAAACAGCAAUACCCAAGAAAACCCAGAGGUGAAAGUAGCCCAAGCUACCAAAACAAAACCUUGAAGAUAAUGGCGAAACCUCUCAGUUCCCAAAUCCUCUGCUAAUGGCGAAACCUUUCUAAACCCUAAACCACCUCACUGUUUCAAUGACGAUCCCAACCAUUGCUUCUAAUUUCUCACUCAACCCAUCACUCUUUCCUCUUAAAACUUCUUCAAUUUCUCGGCGCACUGUCCUAUCCCGUCAUCAAGCCCCCCCUUCAUUUCUCUCAAUACCCCAAGCUUUCAUUCCCAGGCCGGCCCCAAAUUUCCUUUUACUUUCUGGGAAACGGUUGGGGCUUUCUCUCAAUCGAAAAUCCAAGUUUUAUGCUAAUGCUGGCAAUGGAGGAGAAGAUGGUGGUGUUGAUGAAGCGGAGAGGUUGGCAAGAGGAGAGAGUACAAUGCCGGAGAGGUUCCGAUACUUGACCAAAGAAGCUCCUGAUCCUCCUGUUAGGUGGCCUUUCUUUGUUGGUGAGCUUCUUCAUAUGUCCUAUUCAGCUGAGUAUUAGAAUUUCGCCAUGUAAUUAGUGAAAAUCCCAUGAAAACUAUUCAUAACAUAGGUUCCAACGAGUUUAGGGCAUUGUUAAAGUUGUCAUGUAUUACUACCGUUCGGUCACGCCAUUACAAUCAUAUAAAGCAAAGAAUUGCCAUAAAAAAAGUUUAACAUAAUGCUAAUUAAUCCACUUUCUCUUUGGACCAUGUGCAGCUGUGGCAUUCCUUCUCUAUGCAUGGAGGGCUGUUUUGUUAGAGCUAUCUAAUUGGAGAAACGCUGCUUUUGGUGUUGUUCGUUUUGUGGGGUACAUCUUGAAGCUUGCACUUGCCCUUAUUUUCUAUUUCAUUGGGGAUCCAAUCACCUCCAUGAUCAGGUGUAUAGAGACUUUGAUCUAUAGUGUCAGAGCUUUCUACUCUGGGAUAGUGGCAUAUGCCCCUGUUAAAGAACUUACUGUGAUUAUUGUGCUUGCAUCAGCGGUUCUCGCCAUUGCUGAGGCUACUGUUCCCAACUCCAUAAGUUGUCAACCAUAUAUGCUCACAAUAUCCGGUCUCAUUGGCUAUGCAGCCGUGACUGGCUAUAUCUCUGAGCCACUCUACUGGACUCUAUUAUUGGGGUUAUAUAGUUUCUCGCGGGUUAUUAAAAAGCGAGAUGAUGUUACAUCAGCACUGCCUGUUGCAGCUGUAAUGGCUGCCAUCGGGGAACCUUGGGUUAGGAUCUUGGUGAUCACUUCUUAUCUAGCGUUAGCUAUCUUUAACCAUUCAAAGAAGCUUUCAGAAGUAAGGGAGCAAACAGAAGGUAUUGCUAUGGAGAGACGGCUUCCAAUGCCAUUAUUAGGUGCAGCCUUGGCUAUCGGAAUCAAUCUUGCUGCCAAGUGGGUUGGUUACCGGCAUUUGACAUGGAUGAUAGUGUGAGGACAGUUAAUCGGUUUCACACAUCUACUGUAACGACAUUGAUCUUUUGUCUGGAAAUAAUUUUGUGUCAUGUAGAUUCAUUUCAUGGUUUUGGGUUUGGUAGCGUAUUUUUCCCCUGUUUUUGUUUUGCUGUGCUAUGACAUAUUGACACAACAGCAACCAUACAAUAUCGGGAUGGCAUCAUUCCUCAAAUCUGAUGUUCUUCAUGCCUUGCAGAGAAGAAACUGUUAAUGACAAGUGUAUCAUGGGAAACCUUGAUAUUUGUGUUAAUGAUUCAAGUAGGAAGAAUUCGUAGCCAAUAAUGGCUGUAACAUUGGCAUAUAUAUAUAAAGAGAAAAAUAUUACCCAACAUUAAGAAAUAGCAUGAGGAGAACUAAAACGAGUACGAAGAAAAAAGAAAGCUCAAAUAGACAACAUCAGCAAGCUCAAUGCAUACACACUUUCUAGGACUAGGAACUUUAGGUAACAGCGGAGAAAGAAUUUUACGCAGAUGGUCAAUUGGACGGUUUGGGUGAAUCAGGGUAAUUUGGAUUUUAAAAUUUUUCCAUCAACUCAAUUUGAGAGUUAGGUUGUUUUAGGAUAGGAUUAUUUUACUAUUUGGGUUGGGUUUAUUUCAGGUUGAGUCAAUUUAAGUUUGGAUCUAUUAGUAUUAGUUAGUGAUCCCAAUUCAAUGAGUCCUUUCUUCCGUGAUUGAUUGUUGGCAUUAAUCUUAGUCUUACAUUACAUUUUGUCUGUUUAAAUCAAUAAAAUAGGGGCUCAGUGAGAAGAGAGAAGCAAUGAGGAUUACUAUAUUUUUUUCCAAAUAUACAACAUGGAUUAUGACAAUGCAAUAGAGUUAGGACUUUCAUGUGGAUCCGAAUGAAUUAUCUUUUCCAUGAAGGUAAAUCCUUGCUUGCUAGGCAAGAUGAUAGCAAGUUACAAAUUUUAUUUCAAUAGGAGAUAUAUUUCUAUUACUAUAAAAUUCAUAAAUGAAAUAAUUAAUUGUGAGGUUACCAUUAUCCUAUUUGUAGUAACGAAUCUUAUAUGUGUUCUUAAGAAAAGAAAAGAAAUUUGUCAAAAAAAAAUUGGGGACUUUAAAAGGUGGGUAAUUCAGGUUUAAGUUGAAUAUGUUUGAAAUAUUGAAAUUUCAUGAUGAAAUUGGUAUAGUCAUCAAUAAAGUUACUUGAAUUAGACCCGACCUAUCAAGGUACCAGUCUGAAGAACGACAUUAAAUUGAUUAACUUGAGGAUCGGUACAGAUGAAUUGAAUAUAAUAUAAUUUUUUAUUUUAUUUUUAAAUUAUUUAAUGAUUAAUUUAAUUGAAUCAAUUCAACACAUUGAAUCAAACCAAUGAAUUAAUAGUCUCACCACUCUUAUAAUUUUGAAAACCUUAAUCAUCAAAUUUGAAAGGCCCAAAUAUAUGAAAUUGUGAGUCUAAAAGUUUAGUAAUGAGCUAAGUUUUAUUGACGGUGAGCCCAGCACCCCAGUAGUUUUAUUGAAGUAGUUAACUAGGGUUUGUUUCAAAGUUGUAUAUAAAUGAUAGAAGAGCGCCUCUGUUGUUCAUAUUCUCGUCCCAGAGCUUCCAUCCUUGUCCAUUGUUUUCCAUUUGUUCUGAUGCCAAAAGUAACAUAUGCACAAACUCUCCCGGGCUUAUCUGAUUUUUAGAUUUGAAGAAAAAUGCCCCAAUGUUGGUGCUAAAACCAUGCUGUUUUACGUGUUGCGGAACAGCCUUUCUUUUCCACCGGCUCUUCUGUGUCAAAUCGGCGGCUACAUCCCCAUCUCAUUUUUCUUUUUGAAGUUGUGCUGGCGAUGAUUACUUUUAUUUUAUCCGCGCUUCCGAGAGCAAUCGAUGAAGCAAAUAAGUAAUAAAAAUGGUUGAAUUUCUUGAUAUGAGCCAGCAACCCACCAUUUAUAAUAAGAAAAAAAAAUGACUUUUUUGUUUAAUGGAUCUUGGCAAUGAGAAUUUAUAUGCAGCUUUAAAAUGCCAGUUCUGCUUCUGAAGAUUCUUGAUUGAGAAAGCUGUUUUAUUCCCGAGCCUGUAGACAUGUUUUAAACAAUAAAUGUUUUAGAACUUGGUCCAUGAUGAGUAAUCCAUUUCAUUGAGAUGUAGAUUUCCUCAAGACCCUGUUUUCCAGGGUGAACUUACUUGAGGCGCUACAUUGUUCAUGACUUUACUGGAUCUACGUGAGACCUCCCUUUUUUUCAAUAAAAAAUCUUUAUCCAUUUCAUUGAGAUGUAGAUUUCCUCAAGACCCUGUUUUCCAGGGUGAACUUACUUGAGGCGCUACAUUGUUCAUGACUUUACUGGAUCUACGUGAGACCUUCCUUUUUUUUUCAAUAAAAAAUCUUUCUUUUCUGCUUUCAUUGGAAGUGACUAUGUUGUGAACCAAUUGUUAUAUGAUAAAUCCAGUUUGGACCAUGAGGGAGAGAGGGAGAGAGGUAGAGAGAGCAUGACUUUUAUGAAUUAUACAACUCUUUGAAAAUCUGAAGUAGCCAAGUUUAUGAGUACACUUUAACAAAAAAAUUAAAGGAAAACCAUAAUGAACGUGACAUGGUUCUUCCAAAUUCCACAAAUUUGUUACUUAUAUACCCCAUUAUCUACAAUAAAUUUGGGGACAUGACAGUCGUUGAACAAUGGAAUUCAGCUCAAAUUUACCACAUAUGACAACAUAAACAGAAAGCAAUGGAAAAGAUUGAAUGGAGUUGGUAAUUGCUAAGUAGGAGCAACACCUUCAACCUGCUGCUUAGCUAGGUAUCUUUCCCUCCGUUCUUUCCAUUCAUCUAUAACCAGUCCUUCCCCUACGAUACGCGGUCCCGUCUCUUCUUGUGGCUUUUUCCGCGAUUCCAGUGCUGCUUCUGCCUCCGCCAGUUGACGUUUUAGUUUUUCCAGUGCCUUUGAGACCAAUAUGUUUUUUAGAAACAGACUACGAAUAAACCAAGUAAUCCAGUUCUGAUUAUGUUUUGAUUACUUACAGGACAAGAACGUUCUGGGUCUAGAAAAACUACAAGUAAUAUCUGCUCAACUGUGACCUCAUCCUUUUGCUCCUCAAACUGUUGCAAGAUUGUUAUACCACACGUUUUCAGUUUCACUAUUUGACAUGAAGAAAUUUUAUGUUCUAAAUGUAUCUGCAGAAUUAUACCAGUUCUGGGACAUAAUCUGUUUCUCCUUUCACUUUUAAGCUCAUGAUCUUGAACUUAACCCUGCUCUUUUUUUCCAUUGGUUUCUCAUUGUUCUCCGGUGGUUCCACAAACUUGAAUACUGUUCGUCAGAAAAAACAACUCAUUAAAACCAUAAAUCAAUCAGUGUUCUUCUGCCAAUGCAUAGAAAGUAGUAAUGGGGUUAUUUAAAUUGAUGGAUUACCGGUUGCGAUAAUGCUUUCUCCGGGACCAAGUAUACCUUCCGGAGGUCGCAUGUAACAACUCUUUGGUGCGGUUGUUUGGAACUGUAGAAGGAACCACAAAGCUCUCACUCAUUAGAUGUUUUGAAUCAAUGUAGAACCAGUAGCAACAUGUUUUUACCACACAUCAGACAUUAAUAACGACAUGUUCCAUACCUUGAAUGCUACAUGGGACUUGCUAGUGUUCUUAAUGUCAAUGGCACUCCUGACCUGUUUACCUGGUUCAUCUACAGAAACCACAAACUUCAACCUCAUGCACCCAGAUUGAGUUACUCAAAUUAACUUACUGGCAAUUAUAGCACAUCACUAGCCAUGAAAUCUCACUUUUAGCAAUUGAAUCACUUGAGCAGAAACGCAUUUGCAAUAAGUAAAAGGACCCCUUUAUCAGUUCCACAAACAGAAUAGGAUCAUGCAACGGAAACCAAAUCAUAAAAGCCAAAAAAUUUACUUGAAAACCCCAUCCCAGUUAAAAGGUGAGAAACUUACAAGGAAAAUAUAACUUGUUGGAAGGAUCAAGCCUAAGUCUUCUUCGAGCAGGAAGCAAAGAUUUGGCCAUAGAAAAAAAUGCAUUUGAAGAAGUCACAGUUGAUCUUUCACUACUUGGGGUUUGCUGGUAAACAUUGUUGUUCCCCAUUGAUGAUGAAGAAGAUGAAGAUGAGCCAUUCCCAUUGCCACUACUCAUCUGCCACAACUUCGGCAUCCUACAAAGACUCCAAACUUUCCCUUCACCUUCAGAUUUCUCCUCAUCAACACCCAUCAUAUUUUUUGGCUUUACACACACACUUGGAUCUGUCUAUGUUUGUAAGUUCAAUACACAGAAGCAAAUAAAAAGUCGAAACAAGGGUGGAAUUUUGUUCGUAAAUGAAUAUGGGGUAGGAAUUAAAUAUUAAACUAAGUUAUUAUAUCAGUUUUGGGGAUGUGGUUUGAGUUGUCACUGUUGUUGAAAGCUCCUUAACGUCUAAUAACAUAUGCUUGCAAGCAAAACAUAUAUUUUUGUUUUGUUUUCUUGGCAUUCAACUUUCAUGGUUACUUAAUUUUCAUUGUUGGAAAAUGACAGUGCAAUGCUGAUGUCUAUUCAUUUUUUGAUUCUAUGUAAUCAUUUGAUAUAAAUAUAUAUUUUUGUAGAAAAUAAGCCUUAAUUUUGCUUAGAAAGAAUGGAUUGAAAGGUUCGAAAAAUACAAUAUCGAGAUGAGCUCAUGGAGUGUGCUCUGUUUUUGAUGAAAUGUUAUGAUGUAAACAACAUAUAUUACUUUUGGAGCAUUAAAAUAACAUCCACCCAUGUGGCCCUCUUGCAAAAUUAUUCAAAAUCUAAUAAUAAAUAUAAAAGAAAAGCAUCUUUCUUUUUUUCAUCCCAAUGUCAAAUCAGGUUUGACAGGCAAUGAUUUCACCCACAACACUUUGGAUCUUUGCAAAUAUUUUCAUUUUUGUUUUUUUCUAUAUAUAUAUUUUUUCUUUAACCAAUCACACUGUAUACGGCAUAAUAUUUUUAUAUUUUUAUGUAUAAAUAUAAUUAAAACAUUUGUUACCCAUCCGUUAAUUAUCUUUUACGGUGAAACUAUAAAUUCACCUGACAUAUUAAAUUAUUAUUUUAGAUAAAAAAUUUAAGUUAAAUAAUACAAUUAGCCUCUAUAUUUAACUUAAUUUUUUUAUUUUAUUUUUUAUUCUCUUAUACUUCUCCUUCAGUUUUCUUCCUUUCUCUCUCUGUUUUAUGUUCUUUUUAACUUUAUUUUUUUCUUCUUUUAUGUUCCCUCAUUCCUUCUCCAUAUUCCAAUGACGGUUUCAAGAGUUGCCUCAAAUGAUUUUUGUGUAACGAGGCUCUUAAAUCCAUCAUAUGGUUAAAUAUUACAUAUUAACAAGUAAACUUUAGUUGACUAUUUGACAUAAAUUGUAGACGCCUCAUGUUUGAAAUCCCAAUUCUUUGAAUUAAUUAUUAGAUCAUUCAAGCAAAACAAUUUUCUAGAUGCCUCAUGUUUGAAAUCUCAUUUCUUUAAAUUAAUUACGUGGAAAAUAGAGAUGAAGAAGAAGGGAAAACAAAGGUAAAUGCAAAAGAGAAUAGAAAAUAAAGAAAGAAAAAAAAAAGAAAGUUAAAAGAACAUAAAUGAAAAAAAUUAAAUUGCUCAAAACGAAAAAAUAUGGGGAGUAAUUAUAUAAUUUAAUCUAAACUUUUUAUUUGAAAUAAUGAUUUAACGUGCCACGUCAGCUUACUGUUAUAGCGUUAAUGAUAAUUAACAGUUUAGUGGCUAAAAUAUUUACAAAAUGUUAACAUAAGUGACUAAAAAUAUAACAUUUCACAUAUAAAUGACUAAAAUAUAACCUAAGAUAAAAUAAAAGUGAGUAUUAGAUAGUUUAGCCAUAGAACUAUGGUUGGUCUUGAAAAUUUAAAAAAAUGUUUUAUUUAAAAAAAAGAAGGAAAAAUGAUGAAUUUGCAUUCAUAGAAAUUUCGUGUUGAACUCAUAAAUGAAAACUUAUAUUGAUAUUUUAUUUUAAAACUUUUGAAGCUUAUAAACGUUACUUACCACUCUCAUUUUGUGACUCAUAUACUUCACGUGCAUUCUUAAAUAAGAAUUCCCAAUAUAAUUUUAUGUAUUUGGGGGUGUAAUAUACAAGAUAUAUUAAGAAAUCUAUUUACCAGUUUAAAAUGCACAAUAAAUUAGAUAAAACUCAUAUAAGAUAUACACACAAAAUUGGAAAAAUCGAAUAUAGAAAUUAAAUUAAUUUGAGACCUAAAAUUAAAACCCAGAAGGCCUCAAAUAUUAAUUAAUUUACACCUACUUGCCUAAGUAGUUUCUCCUAGAUCUAUAUAUUGGUUGCAUUGGUCUACUACACAUGCAAAAGUUUGCUUGUCUAAUAACUCAGUUGAUUUAUCAUUUAACUUGACUAUGUUUCAAAUUAGAAGAAAAAGAGGUUGAGAAACCUACUAUUGUGCAUAAUACUCACUCUGAAAUUAAUAUGUAUAAUAAAUUUCUUCCCUUCUGCAUGAAAAAGAAAAAAAAGGGAAAACUUUGAUAUAUCCUUGGAUAAUGUUAUGAUUGGUUUGGCAAAUGGAAAACCUUAAAUUUGGUCAUCAUUUUCUUUGCAUUUGAUUUGAAGCUAUAACGAUAUUUAAAGCAUAUACAUUAAUAAGUCAGUCACCCUCUCCAUGUAUUACAAACUGUAUAUAAAAUGCACAAAUAUCCCUCUUUUUCCUUCUUGUUAUCCUUUCACUGUAUUUCCCAUUGUUAUGGUUAUGAUUAAUUACAUAAUUGUUCUAAGUGAUUCUUCAGAUUGAUGGCGCAUUUCUUCCCUGUCUCUCCUCCUUGAACAAGUGGAUGCUGCUGCUGAUGAUGGUCUCUCCCUUUGUGAGGAUCCCACCACAUUAUUAAUGGCAGCUUGGUGGUGGUGCUUAGCUGAGCUCCAUAGGCAUAGCUUUUUUUCCUUGGAAACUUCAGCUGCCGUAAGAGUAGUGGCGGCAACAGCCCACGCCUUACUCUUCCAACUCAUUCCUACAACAUAUAUAAACACACAGAGAACAGCGAAAAACUUAGGGUUAGAUGAGGCAUAUAAAUAUUAAUGAAGGGAGAGAGAGGAAAAUAAGGAGAUUAAAAGGAAAGAGGCAGUUACUUUUUUAUAGCAUGUUGUUUUGGCGAAUACCAAAAGCCCUUCUCCUUCUUCUUCUUCUUCUAACCAGCGGCUACUUUUGUUAUGUUCAGCCCAUAAUAUAUGGAACAAGUUACUGUUUUUCCCUCUUCUUUCUUCAUCACUUACCUUAUGUUACAUUCUCCUCCUAUCAUUUCUAAAUAAAUUUCUAUAUCUUGUAUCCCGAUUAAUUUUAAAAUCCAACUGGAUUAAUUUCUUAAAUGAUGGAUAAUCUCUCUCUACAUUAGUUUUUUUUUUCAUUUAUAAGAUUUAAUGAUUCAAUAACUUGAACACUUAAAAAGUUUAAGACACUAACCUUACUAUUAUAAAGCUUUUAAUUGCACUUGAAUUCAAUAUUACUAACUUAGUAAAAUUAUCAAAAAGAAAAAAAAUUAUUAGAUAUCCAUGUCUUUACUUUAAAAACAUCUGUUCAUAUAAAAAAUUUCUUAUUUUGAUUUAUUUUACUUUUAACAAUAUAUUUGUUUCUAAUAAAUAUUAUUUACCCUUUAAGAAUUAUUUGUAUUUAAGUGGGUGUUACGAAUUUUGGUAUACCAAAAAUAAAAAUAAAAAAUGAGUGCAAAAAAAAAUAGAUAUGAAAUUAGGUCUUAAUCAAAGGGAAAAUUUGAAGAAAAUGUUGUUUUUAAAAAAUAAUUAGGGAUUUAGAGCCAAUUUCUCAAUAUUUUAAAAAAUAAGUUAAUUUUGAAGAGAUAAAUAGAAAACAUGUCUUGCAGGAAGGUUUUCUGCUGAUAUAUGCUUAAGUCUCAAGUUUGAUUCCUCUCCUAUUUUUUACAUUUGUAUUUUUUAUUUCAUAUUAUUUUAAUUUUUUAAAAUUUUUUAAUUAAUAAUGAAUAAAUAUAUUAUUUUCAAGUUCUUUAAUUCAUCUUUAUAAUUAAUAACUCUUUUAUUUAUAUAAAUAAAAUAAUAAAUAUGUAAUUAUAUAUUUUUAUAUUUAUCAUUUGUGUUAUAUAUUUUUGUUUCUCCCUCCAAAAUCGAUCUAUUUUCCUAAAUAUCUAAAAAUUAACUUAUUUCCCGAUUAUCUUUCAAAAUCGACAUACAUUGCUAAUUAAUUAACCCCUUAAUGAAAAGCUCCUAGUGUCCUUCAAGUUAGGUUUCCAGCGGGCCUUAGUAAUGGAUGGGAUGAAAGCGAUAAUUUAAACUAAACCUUUGCAGAAUUUCAUCAAACGCAUCAACGCUCCUUAACAUACAAUUAUUAUUUGUACAAGAGAGGCAAAAGCCUAGCUAUACAGGCAAGCCAACUUUUACAACAUGGAACAUAUAUUUGUACAAACUAAAGAAAAAAGAAAGGUACGAUACGUACAAAUACUCUGUCGACUGUUAGACAGCUUUAGAAGAAGUUAAGGCACUCAAAAGAGUCAAAGUAAAAGGUUAAGGACAUUGAAUCAGUUGAUGAACAUAUUUGGUUGAGAUUAAUUAGGAGUUGGGACCCCAGCAGCUCAAGUACAUGACAGUCCUGAGGGAAUCCUCAGCCUGUUUAAGCUUGCUCUCAUUACUGCUUUUACCAGACUUAUCAGUACUCAUUGGAUCAAAGCAUCCUGAAAUGCCUUUUACUGGCUUUGAACAACAUCCCAUACCCGACUCAGUUUUUGGAGCUUGGUCUUUGGUGCUUGUGUUCCUCAAGCUCAUCUCUGCCUACUUUUCUAUACUUGUCUCUUCUGUGUAAUCAAGGGAGUGGGAGAGAGAAAGAAAGAAAGAAAGAAAGAGAAUUUUGGAGAAAAUUACACGAGAGAGAUGACUGGAAAUCAUGUAUAUAUAAUUACCACCUUGGGACCAAUACCAGUUUUAAAUUGGUGGUCUUUAGGAAAAGAAAAUUGUUUAUUGGAGAUGGUUUCCACUUGACAUGUAUGAUGGAUACAUAAAUAGAUUAAUCCAUUGAGGAUCUAAUUCAUCUGAUUAAUCCACCUGGCGAAAUCCAUUCCAUCUAAAUUUAAUAUUGUGUAGUAGAGUUGAAUUUCAUUCCACCUCACCUCUGCUUCAUGAUCUUUUCUACCAAUGGAUUUAUUACCUACAAAAGCAUCAAUUGGGUUGUAUUUUAUUGUCUCUAACCUGUGAUUUAACCUUAGUAUCUCAACUGUGUUACAGAGAAGAAGUGAGUGGCAAAUGCAACACUGCCAGGUUUCUAGGUACUAAUGCAUGUUAGUGGGCUAGAUUCCAUUAGAGGAAAGACUGACAUGAAUAAAGUUAAAAAUCAAUCCCUAUAUCCCAUCUCAGUCUUUAUGGAAACUAUUAUAUAUGGCAAUACCUACAUUUCCCCCCUUUCUUCCUUAUUCUUUCUGGGGGUUCUACUUUACUAAUAAAAAUAACUUUGAAAAUAUUGCAGGUUGAGGAAGAUGCUGCGCACGUUCCUUCCUUCCUUAGGCAUUGGAGCACAAGGCAUAUAUGCACGUGAGUUGAUGAAUACCCUGGACACGUUCAUCACUCAACACUCACGGGAUAAGACUGACACAUAACUCUCCACUGCCACUUGCAAUUUAGUUUUUGUUUACUACUUUGAAUCAAAGACUGAACUAAAGAUAGUAGUUGAUAUUUAAGUAACAUUUGAGGCAAAUCCUAGUUUUGAAGCUAUCUUUUUUAAGUUGGUGCUAAAUUAGUGCCUUCUUUAUACAAGAAAAGAGUUAUUCUCCGAAACCUAAUGCACUGCUCGGUCUGCAGUUUGUAUUAAAUUGAAGUCCAGAACAGUUGAGUAUUGAUCCAUUGAUAUGAUUAAUGAUUAAAAAUUAAGUGAACAGAAACUACAAUUGUACUACAAAGUUCAUGGUUAGAUUAAUUAAAUAUAACUUGUAAAACUGUAACAGUAAUGUAGCGUUAAAUCCUGUUGGGUUUUUGACACACUUUAACCAGAUAAAGUAAGAAUUUCAAACAGAGCACCAGCAGCAAUGUAUUAUACCCGGAUAAAAUAUGAAGGAAAAAUGCUUGAAGUUCAAGCUUUUAGCUAUUGUUGGGGAUUUUUGACAGCAGAGGAACGGAGCAGAGGAAGAAAUACAGGACAGAACAAGGCAGUAUUUUUACUUGCUCACAAAUGUGCAGCAAGGGAGCUAUGGCUUUAGCUCAUUUAGCUCAUUCAUUCAAUUAGAAAAACAAUACAUUUAUAGAUAAAACACAUUACCAAAUACUACCUACUCCCACUUAGUAGCCUAGGGACUUGCUAAGCAUUACUUGUACACAUCAAUAAGCUGAAUUAUCAGCUCAAUCAUCACCUAAACCCAUCAAAACAUCUAUAACUAAGUUCAUUUUCGACCAAACUAAACUAAGUUGCAACUACAACAGUCAACAUGUUGCUGCAGCAUGCAGCAUGCAUACAAGCCGUAUGCACUCAACAAAAACAUAACAGCAGCAUGGAUGGCCAAUUUCCAACACUCUUCCUUGGACUCCAUGCUGCAAAUGUCAUUCAUUCAUCAAGUUUUUGAACUUGGCAGUCCUUAGAUGCUUUCUUUCAAGCUGACCCUGCACAAGCACUUCAUUUUCAACCUUGGCAAAUGGAGUCUUCUCCUCCUUCACAGCCUUGGUUGACAACACAUCUUGCCUUGUUCCCUAUUACAGUCCUGCUUCUUCUUGCAUAAACAGCUUGCAAGUAUAGUUUGCUUGCCUUCAGUCUGCCAUUUUUGGCUUGCACCCACUCGGGCUUGCAUUUUGCUGCUCGCAACUAUACACCUUUGACAGGCUCGCUUUUUUGCUUACUGUCUUCAACAGGUGUCUUCAACUUUGCUGCUUGCAACCAUACACCUUUGACAGGCUCGCACUUUGGCUUACUGUCUUCAGUUGGUGUCUUCAAUAGGCUCGCAACUAUCACUUCUUGCUAAGCUUGCAGCUUUGACAUCUUGCUAAGCUUGCAGCUUGCACAUUGGAAAACUCACAUUCUUUCCUUGAAACUCCUCCUUCAGUCUAUCCCAGGCUUGUUUUGGUGUAUUCAUUUUAACCACCCAUAUGUGAUAGCCUUCUCCAUUG